Molecule: long non-coding RNA, 988 nt
Filed under: Coturnix japonica (Japanese quail)
Lineage: Eukaryota; Metazoa; Chordata; Aves; Galliformes; Phasianidae
Description: lncRNA (ENSCJPG00005009810.1)
Source: RNAcentral
GCCUUUGUUUGGCUGGGCAGUGCUGUACUGGCUGAUGCCCCUUUAAAAGGUUCCAAACCGCAAUGUUGCCAUAGUUUUUGUUCUCUUCGUGGCCAGUUCAGAGUUACCUUCUGCAGAAGCUUUCCCUAGUCCGGGUUGAUUGCUUUCCUGUAAAGAAAGUUUCUGCCCCUUCCUUCUUUUUGACAGAUCAAGGACUGAGAAAUCUCGUGAUCCUGGCUCUAUUGCUGAGCUUUGUUCUGGGAUCGUUCAUCGUGAGCAAAAAGGUAUCUUCUGAAGCAGAAGAAUUAUUCCACUCAUGAAAAAAGGAAGUGAAAUAUAAACACACCAGUACAUGUUAUAUAAAACCAUGGGAAGAAAAGAGCACCUUAGGUAAAUAGCAAGCUACUUAUUUUAUGAUUUUUAAAUGUCACUCUUUUGUCCAAUAUUGACUUUUUUAUAUGGCGGUUGAAUUAUAGAUCUUCAAGCACCUGGGAGCCCAUGGCAGCCUUAUUUUGACACAGCUGGUCAAGUGGAGGAUUGAAGUCCCUGUAAUUAGUUGUGAGCCAAGCCAGAAUGCGAAAACUUGGUGUAGUGACUUCUCCAUCCAGGGGGUCAUUAGGAGCUCUCACAACACAAAUAAAUCAUGGAGAAACAAUACAUUAUGCUACCCGUGGAAGACAAGAGGCUGAAAUAGAGAUCUGCUGAUGGUGAUGGCCUGGCAUUCUUAACUCAGGACCAAGCUGGCUGCAUUAAUUUAAUUAACCUUUAACAAUGAAUGAAGGUUCAUUCCUGACAGGUCUGAAGAGGUGCCCAGACUUUAGCAUGUUGUUUUUAUUUUACUUUUAAAUAUAAUCUGCAGUAUUAAUUUGUUGUAGGCAUACAACACCAUGUACAAAUUCUUGUGAUGAAUCCAUUAUUCCUACCAUUUUUAACAAUCCAAUAAUGUUUGAUUCAAUGUGAAUUUUGGUCAGGUUUUAAAAUGGCAUCUUUUUGACACGGGAAAUAAUUU